UACGGAGGGUGCGAGCGUUAUCCGGAUUCACUGGGUUUAAAGGGUGCGUAGGCGGGUAUGUAAGUCAGUGGUGAAAGCCUUCAGCUUAACUGGAGAACUGCCAUUGAUACUAUAUAUCUUGAAUACUUUGGAGGUUUGCGGAAUAGGUCAUGUAGCGGUGAAAUGCAUAGAUAUGACCUAGAACACCUAUUGCGAAGGCAGCAAACUACACAGUGAUUGACGCUGAGGCACGAAAGCGUGGGGAGCAAACAGG
Molecule: ribosomal RNA, 253 nt
Filed under: uncultured bacterium
Lineage: Bacteria
Description: partial 16S ribosomal RNA
Rfam family: Bacterial small subunit ribosomal RNA
Source: RNAcentral